UUAUGGACCCCCGGCCCGGACUUAAGCAUAUCAAUUAUGCCGUCGGAAGACAACAGGGAUUGCCUUAGUAACGGCGAGUGAAGCGGCAACAGCUCAAAUUUGAAAGCUGGCCCUUUCAGGGUCCGCGUUGUAAUUUGUAGAGGAUGAUUCGGCGAGGGCUCCCGCCUAAGUCCCCUGGAACGGGGCGUCAUAGAGGGUGAGAAUCCCGUAUGCGGUGGGCUGCCUUAGCCAUGUGAAUCUCCUUCGACGAGUCGAGUUGUUUGGGAAUGCAGCUCUAAAUGGGAGGUAAAUUUCUUCUAAAGCUAAAUACCGGCCAGAGACCGAUAGCGCACAAGUAGAGUGAUCGAAAGAUGAAAAGCACUUUGGAAAGAGAGUUAAAAAGUACGUGAAAUUGUUGAAAGGGAAGCGCUUGCAACCAGACUUGUCCGCAGUUGCUCAGCCGGUCUCCUGACCGGCGUACUCUUCUGCGGCCAGGCCAGCAUCAGUUCGGGCGGUCGGAUAAAGACCUCGGGAAUGUAGCUCCUCUCGGGGAGUGUUAUAGCCCGGGGUGGAAUGCGGCCAGCCUGGACUGAGGAUCUCGCUUCGGCAAGGAUGCUGGCGUAAUGGUUGUAAGCGGCCCGUCUUGAAACACGGACCAAGGAGUCUAACAUCUAUGCGAGUGUUUGGGUGUCAAACCCAUACGCGUAAUGAAAGUGAACGGAGGUGGGAACCCGCAAGGGUGCACCAUCGGCCGAUCCUGAUGUCUUCGGAUGGAUUUGAGCAAGAGCAUAGCUGUUGGGACCCGAAAGAUGGUGAACUAUGCCUGAAUAGGGUGAAGCCAGAGGAAACUCUGGUGGAGGCUCGCAGCGGUUCUGACGUGCAAAUCGAUCGUCAAAUUUGGGUAUAGGGGCGAAAGACUAAUCGAACCAUCCWAGUAGCUGGAUUCCCUGCCGAAGUUCUCCCCUCCGGGGUUACC
This 955-nucleotide ribosomal RNA is filed under the name Diplodia sapinea. RNAcentral describes it as "partial large subunit ribosomal RNA". It matches the Rfam family "Eukaryotic large subunit ribosomal RNA", at positions 24 to 983 of the family's 3401-position model. The record is from RNAcentral. Lineage: Eukaryota; Fungi; Ascomycota; Dothideomycetes; Botryosphaeriales; Botryosphaeriaceae.